RNAcentral lists this ribosomal RNA (445 nucleotides) under uncultured bacterium. RNAcentral's name for it is "partial 16S ribosomal RNA". It matches the Rfam family "Bacterial small subunit ribosomal RNA", at positions 30 to 523 of the family's 1533-position model. The record is from RNAcentral.
CGAACGCUGGCGGCAGGCCUAAUACAUGCAAGUCGAACGGCCCUUCGGAGCAGUGGCGGACGGGUGAGUAACGCGUGGGAAUGUGCCCUCUGGUACGGAACAACACAGGGAAACUUGUGCUAAUACCGUAUGUGCCCUUCGGGAGAAAGAUUUAUCGCCAUUGGAGCAGCCCGCGUUGGAUUAGGUAGUUGGUGAGGUAAAGGCUCACCAAGCCUACGAUCCAUAGCUGGUCUGAGAGGAUGAUCAGCCACACUGGGACUGAGACACGGCCCAGACUCCUACGGGAGGCAGCAGUAGGGAAUCUUGCGCAAUGGGCGAAAGCCUGACGCAGCCAUGCCGCGUGAAUGAUGAAGGUCUUAGGAUUGUAAAAUUCUUUCACCGGGGAAGAUAAUGACGGUACCCGGAGAAGAAGCCCCGGCUAACUUCGUGCCAGCCGCCGCGGUAA